RNAcentral lists this ribosomal RNA (496 nucleotides) under uncultured bacterium. Its description in RNAcentral is "partial 16S ribosomal RNA". It matches the Rfam family "Bacterial small subunit ribosomal RNA", at positions 28 to 506 of the family's 1533-position model. The record is from RNAcentral.
GAUGAACGCUGGCGGCGUGCCUAAUACAUGCAAGUCGAGCGAACAGAUGAGGAGCUUGCUCCUCUGACGUUAGCGGCGGACGGGUGAGUAACACGUGGAUAACCUACCUAUAAGACUGGGAUAACUUCGGGAAACCGGAGCUAAUACCGGAUAAUAUAUUGAACCGCAUGGUUCAAUAGUGAAAGACGGUUUUGCUGUCACUUAUAGAUGGAUCCGCGCCGCAUUAGCUAGUUGGUAAGGUAACGGCUUACCAAGGCGACGAUGCGUAGCCGACCUGAGAGGGUGAUCGGCCACACUGGAACUGAGACACGGUCCAGACUCCUACGGGAGGCAGCAGUAGGGAAUCUUCCGCAAGGGGCGAAAGCCUGACGGAGCAACGCCGCGUGAGUGAUGAAGGUCUUCGGAUCGUAAAACUCUGUUAUUAGGGAAGAACAAAUGUGUAAGUAACUAUGCACGUCUUGACGGUACCUAAUCAGAAAGCCACGGCUAACUACGU